This 505-nucleotide ribosomal RNA is filed under the name uncultured bacterium. RNAcentral's name for it is "partial 16S ribosomal RNA". It matches the Rfam family "Bacterial small subunit ribosomal RNA", at positions 28 to 507 of the family's 1533-position model. The record is from RNAcentral.
GACGAACGCUGGCGGCGUGCCUAAUACAUGCAAGUAGAACGCACAGUUUAUACUUUAGCUUGCUACACCAUAGACUGUGAGUUGCGAACGGGUGAGUAACGCGUAGGUAAACUGCCUGGUAGCGGGGGGUAACUAUUGUCAACGAUAGCUAAUACCGCAUAAUAUUUAUUAUUGCAUGAUAAUUUAUUGAAAGAUGCAAUUGCAUCACUACCAGAUGGACUUGCGUUGUAUUAGCUAGUAGGUGAGGUAACGGCUCACCUAGGCGAAGAUACAUAGCCGACCUGAGAGGGUGAGCGGCCACACUGGGACUGAGACACGGCCCAGACUCCUACGGGAGGCAGCCGUAGGGAAUCUUCGGCAAUGGACGAAAGUCUGACCGAGCAACGCCGCGUGAGUGAAGAAGGUUUUCGGAUCGUAAAGCUCUGUUGUAAGAGAAGAACGGGUGUGAGAGUGGAAAGUUCACACUGUGACGGUAUCUUACCAGAAAGGGACGGCUAACUACGUG